AUUGAACGCUGGCGGCAUGCCUUACACAUGCAAGUCGAACGAGUGUAGCAAUACACAAGUGGCGAACGGGUGAGUAAUGCAUCGGAACGUAUCCUAUUGUGGGGGAUAACGUAGCGAAAGUUACGCUAAUACCGCAUAAGACCUGAGGGUGAAAGCGGGGGAUCUUCGGACCUCGCGCGAUAGGAGCGGCCGAUGUCGGAUUUGCUAGUAGGUGGGAUAAAGGCUUACCUAGGCGACGAUCCGUAGCGGGUCUGAGAGGAUGAUCCGCCACACUGGGACUGAGACACGGCCCAGACUCCUACGGGAGGCAGCAGUGGGGAAUUUUGGACAAUGGGCGCAAGCCUGAUCCAGCCAUGCCGCGUGAGUGAAGAAGGCCUUCGGGUUGUAAAGCUCUUUCGGACGGAAAGAAAUUGCUUCGGAUAAUACCUGGAGUAGAUGACGGUACCGUAAGAAGAAGCACCGGCUAACUACGUGCCAGCCGCCGCGGUAA
Molecule: ribosomal RNA, 490 nt
Filed under: uncultured bacterium
Lineage: Bacteria
Description: partial 16S ribosomal RNA
Rfam family: Bacterial small subunit ribosomal RNA
Source: RNAcentral